AACGAACGCUGGCGGCAUGCCUAACACAUGCAAGUCGAACGAGAACACCGGGUCUUGUGGCCUCUGGGUGUGUAACGCGUGGGAACCUGCCCUUAGGUUUGGCAUAACUCUCCGAAAGGGGUGCUAACACCGGAUAAUGUCUUCGGACCAAAGAUUUAUUGCCUCGGGAUGGGCCCGCGUUGGAUUAGCUAGUGGGAAGGGUAAAAGCCUACCAAGGGGACGAUCCAUAACUGGUCUGAGAGGAUGAUCAGCCACCCUGGGACUGAGACACGGCCCAGACUCCUACGGGAGGCAGCAGGGGGGAAGAUGGGACAAUGGGCGAAAGACGGAGCCAGCAAGACCGCGAGAGUGAUGAAGGCCUUAGGGUUGUAAAGCUCUGUUACCCGGGAUGAUAAUGACAGUACCGGGAGAAUAAGCUCCGGCAAACUCCGU
This 432-nucleotide ribosomal RNA is filed under the name uncultured bacterium. RNAcentral's name for it is "partial 16S ribosomal RNA". It matches the Rfam family "Bacterial small subunit ribosomal RNA", at positions 29 to 506 of the family's 1533-position model. The record is from RNAcentral.